GAUGAAGAACGCAGCGAAAUGCGAUAAGUAAUGUGAAUUGCAGAAUUCCGUGAAUCAUCGAAUCUUUGAACGCAUAUUGCGCCCUCUGGCAUUCCGGGGGGCAUGCCUGUCCGAGCGUCAUUACAACCCUCAAGCUCAGCUUGGUGUUGGGCCCCGCCGCCCCGGCGGGCCCUAAAGUCAGUGGCGGUGCCGUCCGGCUCCGAGCGUAGUAAUUCUUCUCGCUCUGGAGGUCCGGUCGUGUGCUCGCCAGCAACCCCCAAUUUUUUUCAGGUUGACCUCGGAUCAGGUAGGGAUACCCGCUGAACUUAAGCAUAUCAAUAAGCGGAGGA
This 329-nucleotide unclassified non-coding RNA is filed under the name soil metagenome. RNAcentral describes it as "partial contains 5.8S ribosomal RNA, internal transcribed spacer 2, and large subunit ribosomal RNA". The stretch from base 1 to 120 matches the Rfam family "5.8S ribosomal RNA", at positions 35 to 154 of the family's 154-position model. The record is from RNAcentral.